RNAcentral lists this ribosomal RNA (466 nucleotides) under uncultured bacterium. RNAcentral's name for it is "partial 16S ribosomal RNA". It matches the Rfam family "Bacterial small subunit ribosomal RNA", at positions 28 to 507 of the family's 1533-position model. The record is from RNAcentral.
GAUGAACGCUGGCGGCGUGCUUAACACAUGCAAGUCGAACGGAAAGGCCCAAGCUUGCUUGGGUACUCGAGUGGCGAACGGGUGAGUAACACGUGGGUGAUCUGCCCUGCACUUCGGGAUAAGCCUGGGAAACUGGGUCUAAUACCGGAUAGGACCACAUUUUGGAUGGUGUGGUGGAAAGUUUUUCGGUGUGGGAUGAGCUCGCGGCCUAUCAGCUUGUUGGUGGGGUAAUGGCCUACCAAGGCGUCGACGGGUAGCCGGCCUGAGAGGGUGUACGGCCACAUUGGGACUGAGAUACGGCCCAGACUCCUACGGGGGGCAGCAGGGGGGAAUAUUGCACAAUGGGCGCAAGCCUGAUGCAGCGACGCCGCGGGGGGGAUGACGGCCUUCGGGUUGUAAACUCCUUUCGCUAGGGACGAAGCGUUAUGUGACGGUACCUGGAGAAGAAGCACCGGCUAACUACGUG